GGUUAAGCGACUAAGCGUACACGGUGGAUGCCCUGGCAGUCAGAGGCGAUGAAGGACGUGCUAAUCUGCGAAAAGCGUCGGUAAGGUGAUAUGAACCGUUACAGCCGGCGAUGUCCGAAUGGGGAAACCCAGUGUGAUUCGUCACACUAUCGUUAACUGAAUACAUAGGUUAACGAGGCGAACCGGGGGAACUGAAACAUCUAAGUACCCCGAGGAAAAGAAAUCAACCGAGAUUCCCCCAGUAGCGGCGAGCGAACGGGGAGCAGCCCAGAGUCUGAAUCAGCUUGUGUGUUAGUGGAACGGUCUGGAAAGUCCGACGGUACAGGGUGAUAGUCCCGUACACCAAAAUGCACAGGCUGUGAACUCGAAGAGUAGGGCGGGACACGUGGUAUCCUGUCUGAAUAUGGGGGGACCAUCCUCCAAGGCUAAAUACUCCUGACUGACCGAUAGUGAACCAGUACCGUGAGGGAAAGGCGAAAAGAACCCCGGCGAGGGGAGUGAAAAAGAACCUGAAACCGUGUACGUACAAGCAGUGGGAGCACCUUCGGGUGUGACUGCGUACCUUUUGUAUAAUGGGUCAGCGACUUAUAUUCUGUAGCAAGGUUAACCGUAUAGGGGAGCCGCAGGGAAACCGAGUCUUAACUGGGCGUUAAGUUGCAGGGUAUAGACCCGAAACCCGGUGAUCUAGCCAUGGGCAGGUUGAAGGUUGGGUAACACUAACUGGAGGACCGAACCGACUAAUGUUGAAAAAUUAGCGGAUGACUUGUGGCUGGGGGUGAAAGGCCAAUCAAACCGGGAGAUAGCUGGUUCUCCCCGAAAGCUAUUUAGGUAGCGCCUCGUGAAUUCAUCUUCGGGGGUAGAGCACUGUUUCGGCUAGGGGGUCAUCCCGACUUACCAACCCGAUGCAAACUACGAAUACCGAAGAAUGUUAUCACGGGAGACACACGGCGGGUGCUAACGUCCGUCGUGAAGAGGGAAACAACCCAGACCGCCAGCUAAGGUCCCAAAGUCACAGUUAAGUGGGAAACGAUGUGGGAAGGCACAGACAGCCAGGAUGUUGGCUUAGAAGCAGCCAUCAUUUAAAGAAAGCGUAAUAGCUCACUGGUCGAGUCGGCCUGCGCGGAAGAUGUAACGGGGCUAAACUGUGCACCGAAGCUGCGGCAGCGACACUAUGUGUUGUUGGGUAGGGGAGCGUUCUGUAAGCCUGCGAAGGUGGCCUGUGAGGGUUGCUGGAGGUAUCAGAAGUGCGAAUGCUGACAUAAGUAACGAUAAUGCGGGUGAAAAGCCCGCACGCCGGAAGACCAAGGGUUCCUGUCCAACGUUAAUCGGGGCAGGGUGAGUCGACCCCUAAGGCGAGGCCGAAAGGCGUAGUCGAUGGGAAACAGGUUAAUAUUCCUGUACUUGGUGUUACUGCGAAGGGGGACGGAGAAGGCUAUGUUAGCCGGGCGACGGUUGUCCCGGUUUAAGCAUGUAGGCGGAGGUUCCAGGUAAAUCCGGUACCUUUUUAACGCUGAGGUGUGAUGACGAGGCACUACGGUGCUGAAGUAACAAAUGCCCUGCUUCCAGGAAAAGCCUCUAAGCAUCAGGUAACAUUAAAUCGUACCCCAAACCGACACAGGUGGUCAGGUAGAGAAUACCAAGGCGCUUGAGAGAACUCGGGUGAAGGAACUAGGCAAAAUGGUGCCGUAACUUCGGGAGAAGGCACGCUGAUAUGUAGGUGAAGCCCCUGCGGGUGGAGCUGAAAUCAGUCGAAGAUACCAGCUGGCUGCAACUGUUUAUUAAAAACACAGCACUGUGCAAACACGAAAGUGGACGUAUACGGUGUGACGCCUGCCCGGUGCCGGAAGGUUAAUUGAUGGGGUUAUCCGUAAGGAGAAGCUCUUGAUCGAAGCCCCGGUAAACGGCGGCCGUAACUAUAACGGUCCUAAGGUAGCGAAAUUCCUUGUCGGGUAAGUUCCGACCUGCACGAAUGGCGUAAUGAUGGCCAGGCUGUCUCCACCCGAGACUCAGUGAAAUUGAACUCGCUGUGAAGAUGCAGUGUACCCGCGGCAAGACGGAAAGACCCCGUGAACCUUUACUAUAGCUUGACACUGAACAUUGAGCCUUGAUGUGUAGGAUAGGUGGGAGGCUUUGAAGCGUGGACGCCAGUCUGCGUGGAGCCAACCUUGAAAUACCACCCUUUAAUGUUUGAUGUUCUAACGUUGGCCCCUUAUCGGGGUUGCGGACAGUGUCUGGUGGGUAGUUUGACUGGGGCGGUCUCCUCCCAAAGAGUAACGGAGGAGCACGAAGGUUAGCUAAUCCUGGUCGGACAUCAGGAGGUUAGUGCAAUGGCAUAAGCUAGCUUGACUGCGAGCGUGACGGCGCGAGCAGGUGCGAAAGCAGGUCAUAGUGAUCCGGUGGUUCUGAAUGGAAGGGCCAUCGCUCAACGGAUAAAAGGUACUCCGGGGAUAACAGGCUGAUACCGCCCAAGAGUUCAUAUCGACGGCGGUGUUUGGCACCUCGAUGUCGGCUCAUCACAUCCUGGGGCUGAAGUAGGUCCCAAGGGUAUGGCUGUUCGCCAUUUAAAGUGGUACGCGAGCUGGGUUUAGAACGUCGUGAGACAGUUCGGUCCCUAUCUGCCGUGGGCGCUGGAGAAUUGAGGGGGCUGCUCCUAGUACGAGAGGACCGGAGUGGACGCAUCACUGGUGUUCGGGUUGUCAUGCCAAUGGCAUUGCCCGGUAGCUAAAUGCGGAAGAGAUAAGUGCUGAAAGCAUCUAAGCACGAAACUUGCCCCGAGAUGAGUUCUCCCUGAGACUUUAAGUCUCCUGAAGGAACGUUAAAGACGAUGACGUUGAUAGGUCGGGUGUGUAAGCGUAGCGAUACGUUGAGCUAACCGAUACUAAUGAACCGUGAGGCUUAACCUU
Molecule: ribosomal RNA, 2903 nt
Filed under: Klebsiella aerogenes
Lineage: Bacteria; Pseudomonadati; Pseudomonadota; Gammaproteobacteria; Enterobacterales; Enterobacteriaceae
Description: 23S ribosomal RNA
Rfam family: Bacterial large subunit ribosomal RNA
Source: RNAcentral